RNAcentral lists this unclassified non-coding RNA (38 nucleotides) under Lachnospiraceae bacterium ND2006. RNAcentral describes it as "crRNA from Lachnospiraceae bacterium ND2006 (PDB 6W64, chain B)". The record is from RNAcentral. Lineage: Bacteria; Bacillati; Bacillota; Clostridia; Lachnospirales; Lachnospiraceae.
CAAAUUGUGCCCAUCGUUGGCACGCGUGCUGGAUUGCU